Molecule: long non-coding RNA, 3137 nt
Filed under: Sus scrofa (pig)
Lineage: Eukaryota; Metazoa; Chordata; Mammalia; Artiodactyla; Suidae
Description: lncRNA (ENSSSCG00005036999.1)
Source: RNAcentral
ACUACAUGGUGGUUUUGUUCUCUACCAUGGGAGAUAAAAGCAUGUAGGAAAUUACAGGAGUUCCCGUUGUGGCUCAGUGGUUAACGAAUCCGACUAGGAACCACGAGGUUGCGGGUUCGAUCCCUGCCUAUUUAAAAAAAGAAAAAAAGAAAAAGAAAUUACAGAUGAUCUCUAUGAAUAGUUAUGGAUCUGUGGUGACCUAGCAGUUAAGGAUUUGGUGUUGUCACUGCAGUGGCUAAGGAACGGGCUAAAGGCACAGCCAAAAAAAAAAAAAAAAAGCUAAACGUAAACAGUAGAGGAGUUCUCUUGUGCCUCGGUGGUUUAGGGGUCUGACAUUUUCGCUGCAGUGGCUGGGGUCCCUACUUUGGCAUGCAUUUGAUCCCGGGCCUAGGAAUUUAUGUAUGCCACAGGUGUGGCCAAAAAAGACAAAAAUAAUAAAAUGUACAUAUUCUUGAAUUCUUUUAUACAAUGUUAUAAUAAUUCCACAUCAGAAUUUAAUUUAUGGAGUAUUUAAGCUAGACUUUUAUGUAAGACAAUAAUUUUCAAUAUAACCAAAGUAAAAUUUGAAAAGGAACAAUAGCUCGCAGCCAGCUUUGAGGGCCAACUAUGCACAAGAAGAGAAGUAUGUAUAAAAGAUAGAAAAAGGUAAUCAAAUGGAGGUGUCAGAAACAGACCUGUGUGUGAAAUGAGACUGGAUUGAUAUUUCUGGCUCUGGACUGUAAUGACGUUGUAUGACCUGCCACAACCAUUUCCUCCACAAUGUGAUCUCUUACUCUUCUGGCUCAUUGGGUUCCAGUCACACUAGCCUUGUGGAUACUACUCAAAUACACCAGACAUGACCUUGACAGAGUCUUUGUACUUAUUUUACCUCUUCUGGAAAGCCUUUUCUCAACAUAUCCGCAUGACUAUGGCACAACUCUAUCAUGCCUCUAUGCUCUCUUAUAUCCAUUAUUUUAUUAUCACUCUUCCUUGGCUUGACAACUAGAGAUCCUAGAGAAACUCUUAAGCUCAGGUCUGAGGUUAUAUGGAGAGAUUUCCCCGAGAUACGAAAGGUUGUGUUAGGUACAUGGAUUAGUAUGUACAAAUGCUUGGGGAUGAGCUUGAGAUGGGGGUGUUCCAUGACUUGGAGGUCUCUGUUACUGUCUGGCGAGGACAGAUGGCAGGGGGCCAGAGUCAGGCCUAGAUGGUAGCCAUAGAAUUUUUGGAACUGAGGAAAGAAGUGAUUUGACUUAGGACUUAAGAGGCUACCCCUGACUGCAGAGUGCAGAACAGACUGAGGGCGAGGAAGACAAGAAGGAGCCCAUCCCAGAAGCAAUUGCAUGCAUCCAGGUGAGUGUUGGUUGUGGCAGGACCAGAGUGGUGGGUGUGGAGGUAGGAGAAACACUUGGCCUCUGGAUUUGUUUUGAAGUAGCGGCUGACCAGCUGUUGUAAUGUGGAGGGGUCACAGAUGACUCUAAAGUCCCCUUUGCAUCUGGAAGAGUGGAUGCGCCACCAGCUGAGAUGGGGAAGUCAGUGGUAGGAGUACUUUCUAAUGAGAAUAUUAGGAAUUGGGUUUUGGCCUUGUUGAGGUUCACAUGUUCCAGAGACUCCACAGUAUAGGAGACCAGUAUAGAGCUGAACAGGUAGGUCUUGAGGACAUGCAGAAGGGGGUUGUCACAAAGUCAAGGAAGAGGAAUGGUCAUCAGCAAGAAAGUAGGGAGCAGGAGAAGGGAAAGUCCAGCAGGAAGCUAAGGUUUUCAUGGCUCAGAAUUAGUCCAGAGGGUUCCAUUAGUCUCAGCCCCUCUCUGCUAAGUGGACCUCUGGGCUCCAGGUUCUGCCCCCUCCUAGUUAACGUUUCCUGGGACCUCACUGUAUUGGGAGUUGUUGGGACCCAAUAGGGUCCCUGUCUGUGGGGUCCAUCUGGCUGUCUCUGUGAGGACACCCCCCCCCCUCCAGAGAUUCGUUUUGUGGUGUUAUUUUUCUUUUCCGAGAUUGUUUGGGAUUGGUUGUCCUCCUGGGCCAGUACUGACCACUCACCUGUCCUGUCUUUCCCUUAGGACUUGCAUCUUCUAGGUCCCAUGUUGUCCAGCUAGAGCUGAGAGGGAGUGGACAUGGCUCCAGGCACAGCACGAGAGCCUCAGAGUGGGCCUGGCCCUGGUGAUUCACAUCUGGGGGAGGAUGUGAUGUCACAGCUGGGUUCACAUCAUACCAGGAACAUGUCCUGUGCCCAGCACUGUUUGGGUGUGUUGCACCCCAACCUUGAGUCUUUUGCCUGGCUGCUGACAUGGAGCUGAGGACCAAUAGACACCUUCUGGGCAGAAUAUUUCUGUAGAAGUGCCCCAGAUACAUCCUUCAACGGCAGACUUGUCCACCCAGACGACCUGUCCCUGGGAGAGGUGUAGGCUGGAAGAGCUGCACAGUCCCUGCUUCCACAUUGUCGUCACAUUGCGGGAAGCUGGGGAGGAUUUCCCUGGUAGCUCUGGCUUCCCCCUCCCAGCAGCCCUGGGAUCUAUUUGCUUUCCUUUAACAAAGACUUCGCCUGCUUGCUGCCUGUGUGUUCCUGGAGUUCAUUUCUUUGACUGCCCUGAUCAGGAACCCGGAUUCCCAUAUCAUCUUUCUGGUGGUAUCUUUUGGGGACUAGUCUGGGAUCCAAUCCAAUACAUCUGCACUCAUAAGAACGUCUGAGUCCCUGCCAGAUCUCCAGCAACAGAUUCAUGGGAUGUCUGAUCCAGCUCGCCCUCUGGAACUAGUUGACCUCUUCCUCCUGGUGGAAAUAUUUCAUCACCAUAGCCAUCAUCAUGAUCUUUAAUCCUUUUAUUUGGACCCUAUAUAAUUAAUUGUAUUUCUCACUUCAUUACAUCCCAGUUAAAAACUAUGGACCUGGAGUUCCCGUCGUGGCUCAGGGGUUAACGAAUCCGACUAGGAACCAUGAGGUUGCAGGUUCAACCCCUGGCCUUGCCCAGUGGGUUAAGGAUCUGCCAUUGCUGUGAGCUGUGGUGUAGGCCACAGACAUGGCUCAGAUCCCACGUUGCUGUGGCUCUGGUAUAGGCUGGUGGCUAUAGCUCUGAUUUGACGCCCUAGCCUGGGAACCUCCAUAUGCCGUGGGAGCAGCCCUAGAAAAGGAAAAAAGACACCCCCCCCAAAAAAAAAAAAAAAAA